GACGUAGGUGGCAAGCGUUGUUCGGAAUCACUGGGCAUAAAGCGCACGUAGGCGGCUAUGUCAGUCGGGUGUGAAAGCCCUCGGCUCAACCGAGGAACUGCGCCCGAUACUGCAUGGCUUGAGGUCCGGAGGGGAGAGUGGAAUUCCCGGUGGAGCGGUGAAAUGCGUAGAGAUCGGGAAGAACGCCGGCGGCGAAAGCGACUCUCUGGUCGGAAUCUGACGCUGAGGUGCGAAAGCUAGGGGAGCAAACGGG
Molecule: ribosomal RNA, 253 nt
Filed under: uncultured bacterium
Lineage: Bacteria
Description: partial 16S ribosomal RNA
Rfam family: Bacterial small subunit ribosomal RNA
Source: RNAcentral